UACGUAGGUGGCGAGCGUCGUUCGGAUUUAUUGGGCGUAAAGGGUCCGCAGGAGGUUUGUUAAAAUUGGGGUGAAAUCCCGGAGCUCAACUCCGGAACUGCCUUGAUGACUGACGAACUAGAGUGCUGGAGAGGUAAGCGGAAUACCAGGUGUAGCGGUGGAAUGCGUAGAUAUCUGGUAGAACACCGAAAGCGAAGGCAGCUUACUGGCCAGCAACUGACUCUCAGGGACGAAAGCGUGGGGAGCAAACAGG
This 253-nucleotide ribosomal RNA is filed under the name uncultured bacterium. RNAcentral describes it as "partial 16S ribosomal RNA". It matches the Rfam family "Bacterial small subunit ribosomal RNA", at positions 524 to 776 of the family's 1533-position model. The record is from RNAcentral.